AUAAGAACAAAAGGUUCCGUUAUGCAAGAUGAAAAGGCCCUGUAGAUCAUUGUGCGACACAGUGCUUAGACUUAUGACUGCGGCGGCCACGCUCUGCGGGUCGCGGAGGCGGGCAGAGGCGGAGCCGCAGGAGCCCGGCCCGGCGGCCCCAGGGGCGGUGGCAGCCCAGCAGGCGUCUCGCGGGGCUGCUUCGCUUCCACACUCGUCUCAGAGGACCAGAGAGGAAGGAUGUCGUCGGGGCUUAAGGCCGAGCUGGAGUUCCUAGCGUCCAUCUUCGACAAGGACCACGAGCGGCUGCGCAUCGUGAGCUGGCAGCUGGAUGAGCUGCAGUGUCAGUUCCUGGUGCCGCCGGCGCCCGCGGGCAGCCCGCCCUCGCCGCCGCUCACCCUGCACUGCACCAUCACCGAGUCCUACCCAUCUUCGCCGCCGAUAUGGUUCGUGGACUCUGACGAUCCUGAUCUCACAUCGAUCCUGGAACGCCUGGAAGAUUCGAAGCCCAACAGUUCGCUUCGUCAGCAGCUCAAGUGGCUGAUCUGUGAACUCUGCAGCUUAUAUAACCUGCCUGAGCACCUGGAUGUGGAGAUGCUGGACCAGCCGGUCCCCAUCGCUCAGAAGGCGACUAUCGAAGAGGUGCCAUCAGAGGAUGAAGAUGAAGAUGGAGCUGAUGGGCUGGAAGACUUGGAUCAUUAUGACCUGAAAGAAGAAGAAGACGACGACGAAGAAGAAGAGACCAGUAGUGAGAAAAAGUCAGAGGAUGAAGGGCUUGAGAAAGAACAUUUGGCAAUAUUAGAGAAUAUCAAGAAGAGCCAAAGGCAAGAGCAUUUGAAUGGUACCGUGUCUGGCUCGGUGCAUGCUUCAAAUAGACUUAUGAAAGAACUCAGAGAUGUAUACAGAUCGCAGAGUUACAAAUCGGGGACUUAUUCCGUGGAACUGAUAAAUGACAGCUUAUAUGACUGGCACAUUAAACUGAGGAAGGUUGACCCUGAUAGUCCCUUGUACGGUGACCUUCAGCUCUUGAAAGAAAAAGAAGGCAUAGACUAUAUUUUGCUUAACUUCUCUUUCAAAGAUAACUUUCCGUUUGAUCCUCCAUUUGUUCGCGUCGAGUUGCCUAUUCUCUCUGGAGGGUAUGUCUUGGGUGGAGGGGCGUUGUGUAUGGAACUGCUCACCAAACAGGGCUGGAGCAGCGCCUACUCCAUUGAAUCGGUCAUCAUGCAGAUCAAUGCCACCUUAGUCAAAGGCAAGGCCAGGGUGCGCUUUGGAGCAGAUAAGAAUCAGUAUAAUCUAGAAACAGCCCAACAGUCCUAUGACUCCGUUGUGCAGAUGCAUGAGAAAAAGGGCUGGUUUACUCCUCCAAAGGAAGAUGGGUAAAUAGUAGACUGCCGUGCAUUUGGAACAAGGUAGCUUUAAAGACACAAGCUUUGCAUAUCUUUGUAACAGUAGUGCGGAAGAUAUUAGCUAAUUGGUAUUUUAGUGGAUAAGCUGUCAACUGACCACCAGUAGAAGUUCCAACCUUUUCAUUUUGCUUACUGUGGGGGUCUUGGGCUGAACUGUGAGCCUUUACUGUGGUUUUACCUGAUAAAUAAUCAUAGUGUCCAUUUUUCAUCAUCUGUUUUCCUUGAUUCAGUAAAAUGUGUUAAGUAGGCCAGUCAGUUGUGACUUUAUAGAUAAUUUUCGUUUAUUGGGCUAUUGGGGGAGGUGGGAGGGGAUAAUGAGUAUUUACAAACAUUUGUUCCAUUUAGUGCCAAUAAAAGUUUUGCCAGUGUCUAAUACUGGCUUAGAAGA
RNA transcript from Mastomys coucha (southern multimammate mouse), 1782 nucleotides. It is a transcript of the gene named ubiquitin-conjugating enzyme E2 Q2 pseudogene, with no coding region annotated. The record is from RefSeq and is a predicted model, not a curated record. The transcript has a single exon. Lineage: Eukaryota; Metazoa; Chordata; Mammalia; Rodentia; Muridae.